GAAUCUUGCGCAAUGGGCGAAAGCCUGACGCAGCGACGCCGCGUGAGGGAAGAAGGCCUUCGGGUCGUAAACCUCCGUCCUUGGGGACGAUGAUGACGGUACCCAAGGAGGAAGCCCCGGCUAACUACGUGCCAGCAGCCGCGGUAAUACAUAGGGGGCAAGCGUUAUCCGGAAUUAUUGGGCGUAAAGCGUGCGUAGGCGGUUUAUUAAGUCUGGUGUGAAAUUUUACAGCUUAACUGUAAAGGGUCAUUGGAAACUGGUAAACUUGAGUACGGUAGGGGCAAGUGGAAUUCCAAGUGGAGCGGUGGAAUGCGUAGAUAUUUGGAGGAACACCAGUAGCGAAGGCGGCUUGCUGGGCCGGAACUGACGCUGAGGCACGAGAGCGUGGGGAGCAAACA
RNAcentral lists this ribosomal RNA (398 nucleotides) under uncultured bacterium. Its description in RNAcentral is "partial 16S ribosomal RNA". It matches the Rfam family "Bacterial small subunit ribosomal RNA", at positions 359 to 774 of the family's 1533-position model. The record is from RNAcentral.